GUGCCAGCAGCCGCGGUAAUACGUAGGGGGCUAGCGUUGUCCGGAUUUAUUGGGCGUAAAGAGCGUGUAGGCGGCCAGGUAGGUCUGCUGUGAAAACUCGAGGCUCAACCUCGAGACGUCGGCGGAAACCAUCUGGCUAGAGUCCGGAAGAGGAGAGUGGAAUUCCUGGUGUAGCGGUGAAAUGCGCAGAUAUCAGGAAGAACACCCGUGGCGAAGGCGGCUCUCUGGGACGGUACUGACGCUGAGACGCGAAAGCGUGGGGAGCGAACAGGAUUAGAAACCCCCGUAGUCC
This 292-nucleotide ribosomal RNA is filed under the name uncultured bacterium. RNAcentral describes it as "partial 16S ribosomal RNA". It matches the Rfam family "Bacterial small subunit ribosomal RNA", at positions 505 to 796 of the family's 1533-position model. The record is from RNAcentral.